UUCGAACCUAUGGAGUCACGCAUAAAGUCAGACAAGUAGAAAAGAAUUGAUCUAUGUCUAUGCAUUCAAUUUAAAAGUACGUAACUUGAUUGAACAAAUAGAUUAGCUUAAUUGAGAAUUAAGUUAGAAGUCAUACAAGAUUAAAUAGUUGACUAUGUCUAGCUAGCACUAGACAUGAGGUUCAAAUUUAAUUUCGAGGAUGAUAAUGAUCUGAUCAAUGAUCCAAA
Molecule: long non-coding RNA, 227 nt
Filed under: Elaeis guineensis (African oil palm)
Lineage: Eukaryota; Viridiplantae; Streptophyta; Magnoliopsida; Arecales; Arecaceae
Description: long non-coding RNA (EGUI_LNC051614)
Source: RNAcentral